This 497-nucleotide ribosomal RNA is filed under the name uncultured bacterium. RNAcentral describes it as "partial 16S ribosomal RNA". It matches the Rfam family "Bacterial small subunit ribosomal RNA", at positions 36 to 507 of the family's 1533-position model. The record is from RNAcentral.
UCUUCCCUCUGGCGGCGUGCCUAAUACAUGCAAGUCGAGCGAACGGACGAGAAUCUUGCUUCUCUGAUGUUAGCGGCGGACGGGGGAGUAACACGUGGAUAACCUACCUAUAAUACGGGGAUAACUUCGGGAAACCGUAGCUAAUACCGGAUAAUAUUUUGAACCGCAUGGUUCAAAAGUGAAUGACGGUGUUGCUGUCACUUAUAGAUGGAUCCGCGCUGCAUUAGCUAGUUGGUAAGGUAACGGCUUACCAAGGCAACGAUGCAUAGCCGACCUGAGAGGGUGAUCGGCCACACUGGAAGUGAGACACGGUCCAGACUCCUACGGGAGGCAGCAGUAGGGAAUCUUCCGCAAUGGGCGAAAGCCUGACGGAGCGACGCCGCGUGAGUGAUGAAGGUCUUCGGAUCGGAAAACUCUGUUAUUAGGGAAGAACAUAUGUGUAAGUAACUGUGCACAUCUUGACGGUAACUAAUCAGAAAGCCACGGCUAACUACGUG